UACGUAGGGUGCGAGCGUUGUCCGGAAUUAUUGGGCGUAAAGAGCUCGUAGGCGGUGUGUCACGUCGGCCGUGAAAACCUGCAGCUUAACUGUGGGCGUGCGGUCGAUACGGGCAUCACUGGAGUUCGGCAGGGGAGACUGGAAUUCCUGGUGUAGCGGUGAAAUGCGCAGAUAUCUGGAGGAACACCGGUGGCGAAGGCGGCAUCCUGGACCAAUACUGACACUGAGGAGCGAAAGCCAGGGGAGCAGACGGG
Molecule: ribosomal RNA, 254 nt
Filed under: uncultured bacterium
Lineage: Bacteria
Description: partial 16S ribosomal RNA
Rfam family: Bacterial small subunit ribosomal RNA
Source: RNAcentral